AAUAGAUACCCGGUAGUCCACGCCGUAAACGAUGAGUGCUAAGUGUUAGAGGGUUUCCGCCCUUUAGUGCUGCAGCAAACGCAUUAAGCACUCCGCCUGGGGAGUACGGUCGCAAGACUGAAACUCAAAGGAAUUGACGGGGGCCCGCACAAGCGGUGGAGCAUGUGGUUUAAUUCGAAGCAACGCGAAGAACCUUACCAGGUCUUGACAUCCUUAUGACUUCUCUAGAGAUAGAGCUUUCCCUUCGGGGACAUAAGUGACAGGUGGUGCAUGGUUGUCGUCAGCUCGUGUCGUGAGAUGUUGGGUUAAGUCCCGCAACGAGCGCAACCCUUGAUCUUAGUUGCCAGCAUUCAGUUGGGCACUCUAAGGUGACUGCCGGUGACAAACCGGAGGAAGGUGGGGAUGACGUCAAAUCAUCAUGCCCCUUAUGACCUGGGCUACACACGUGCUACAAUGGAUGGUACAAAGGGUAGCGAGACCGCGAGGUUUAGCCAAUCCCAUAAAACCAUUCUCAGUUCGGAUUGCAGG
This 528-nucleotide ribosomal RNA is filed under the name uncultured bacterium. Its description in RNAcentral is "bacterial SSU rRNA". It matches the Rfam family "Bacterial small subunit ribosomal RNA", at positions 777 to 1304 of the family's 1533-position model. The record is from RNAcentral.